This is a long non-coding RNA of Erigeron canadensis, 394 nucleotides long. RefSeq lists it as uncharacterized. The record is from RefSeq and is a predicted model, not a curated record. The transcript has 3 exons. Lineage: Eukaryota; Viridiplantae; Streptophyta; Magnoliopsida; Asterales; Asteraceae.
UCCCCACACAUUUUCUCUCUCAAAACUCUUCUCCUUUCUCUUUUUUUCUCCAAAUUUCGGCAGCCACAAAACAAGGGAAAAAGGGAAGAAAAAUCCAUAUAAACACUUGUUAAUAAUAAAGGUUUUAAGUUAGAUUAUUAAAGGGUUAAGUCAAGCAAGGUUUAAGGGUUGUUUAAGGCUUGGAUUAAGGGUUGUUUAAGGCUUUAAAGGUCACGAAAAAUCUGCCAUAUCCUCCUCAUCAAAACCGAAUCCAAGAGGGCUUGCUUGGGGAAACGACGCCACUAGCCGAAGAUCUCGCAUUUGAUCAGCCCCUAUUCAUACUCCAAACAUAUUUUCUUGACCUAAAAGUGUUGAUGUUCUUGAUGGGUCAAAACAAGAAGAUCAAGACUAUCCC